CAGCCGCCGCAGUAAUACAGAGGGUGCGAGCGUUAAUCGGAUUUACUGGGCGUAAAGCGUGCGUAGGCGGCUUCUUAAGUCGGAUGUGAAAUCCCUGAGCUUAACUUAGGAAUUGCAUUCGAUACUGGGAAGCUAGAGUAUGGGAGAGGAUGGUAGAAUUCCAGGUGUAGCGGUGAAAUGCGUAGAGAUCUGGAGGAAUACCGAUGGCGAAGGCAGCCAUCUGGCCUAAUACUGACGCUGAGGUACGAAAGCAUGGGGAGCAAACAGGAUUAGAUACCCGAGUAGUCCCUGUCUCUUAUAC
This 301-nucleotide ribosomal RNA is filed under the name uncultured bacterium. RNAcentral's name for it is "partial 16S ribosomal RNA". It matches the Rfam family "Bacterial small subunit ribosomal RNA", at positions 509 to 807 of the family's 1533-position model. The record is from RNAcentral.